CAAAAGGUUCUUUUCAGAACCAAUUUUUUAAAAAAACUUUCU
Stegodyphus mimosarum is the source of this 42-nucleotide non-coding RNA. The record is from Rfam. Lineage: Eukaryota; Metazoa; Arthropoda; Arachnida; Araneae; Eresidae.